This 76-nucleotide transfer RNA is filed under the name bacterium. RNAcentral's name for it is "tRNA-Phe". It matches the Rfam family "tRNA". From Rfam's summary of the family: Transfer RNA (tRNA) molecules are approximately 80 nucleotides in length. Their secondary structure includes four short double-helical elements and three loops (D, anti-codon, and T loops). The record is from RNAcentral.
GGCUCGGUAGCUCAGUUGGUAGAGCAACGGACUGAAAAUCCGUGUGUCACCAGUUCGAUUCUGGUCUGAGCCACCA